Molecule: non-coding RNA, 52 nt
Organism: Rattus norvegicus (Norway rat)
Lineage: Eukaryota; Metazoa; Chordata; Mammalia; Rodentia; Muridae
Source: Rfam
AGGAAAUAGGGGGAGGGGGCAGCCCCAGGCCUUGGAACAAUGCUAUGGGGAA